Long non-coding RNA from Carassius gibelio (silver crucian carp), 1193 nucleotides. RefSeq lists it as uncharacterized. The transcript has 3 exons. NCBI's taxonomy places the organism in Eukaryota, Metazoa, Chordata, Actinopteri, Cypriniformes, Cyprinidae. The record is from RefSeq and is a predicted model, not a curated record.
ACAGGACAACGGCACCAGUGCGCUCACCACACACCAGCUACAGGUGGAGACUUGAAUCAGAAUGAGCUUUAUUGCCAGGUAUGUUUACACACAGAGGAAUUCGUUUUCAUGAUAAAAGCUCCUCAGUACAACAGACUUUCUCCUUUCAGAUGAAUCAGAUAAAAUCAAAUAAAGUGAGCGCAUCAAUAAUAAAAUGUGCCUCACACAGCUCUGAGGGGUGAAUAAAGCCCUCCUGUAGCGAAUCUAUGCCUUUAAAGAAAAAUAUUCAUAUUUAAAAAGUAUAAACAUUUUUAUCUUACUUCCUCUUGUCAUAUGUGCAAGCCAUUCCGGGGGUUGACGUAGGACGCAGCCGUUUUACAAAAACACAUUGAUUCGCUUCUGGACGCCUUUAUUCACCCCUCUGAGCCAUGUGAGGCACUUUUUUAUUACAGAUGUACAUGCUUUAUUUGACUACUUUUGGACUGUUGAACAAAAACAUCUGCCUACUUCAAUUAUAAUGCUUUUCGUUUUUGGGUGAACUAACCCUUUAAUAUCUUUGUUGCGGUAAACACAAAAUAUGUUUUGAAGAAUGUGGGGAACCAAACAUUAGCUGGUGCACAUUAGAUAGUAGGAAAAAAUUAUAUGAAAGUCUGUUCAACUGUUUGGUUAUACACAUUAUUCAAAAUAUAAUAACACCAUAAUAUUGUUUUCUGUGAAUUAGUGAAAAUGAUUGUAGCAUAAACUCUAGUAUACCACAUUCAGUUUUCAAACGUAUUGUGAACAAAUGUUCUGUGUGUGUAUCAUGGCCUUAUUUCAGUGACACAAACAGACAUUAACUUUGAAUGAAAAAAAAUACCAACCUCUUUGUUCCUCCUGUUUUAUUCUCCAGGUUUCUGGUUCCUCGUGUUUUAUUCUCAAGGUUUCUGGUUCCUCGUAUUUUAUUCUCCAGGUUUCUGGUUCCUCGUGUUUUAUUAUUAUAGUUUCUGGUUCCUCGUGUUUUAUUCUCCAAGUUUCUGGUUCCUGUUUUAUUAUUAUAGUUUCUGGUUCCUCGUGUUUUAUUCUCCAGGUUUCUGGUUCCUCUUGUUUUAUUCUCCAGGUUUCUGGUUCCUCAUAUUUUAUUCUCCAGGUUUCUGGUUCCUCUUGUUUUAUUAUCCAGGUUUCUGGUUCCUCAUAUUUUAUUCUCCAGGUUUCUGAUUCCUCUUGUUUUAUUAUCC